Molecule: long non-coding RNA, 329 nt
Filed under: Mytilus galloprovincialis (Mediterranean mussel)
Lineage: Eukaryota; Metazoa; Mollusca; Bivalvia; Mytilida; Mytilidae
Source: RNAcentral
CCCCGAUUAAAUGGUUCUUGUCCUUUCUUGAUUAAAUAAUAUGUAAAUGAUUUAUUUGAGAUAAGGAAAUAUACUUCCAAGCCAGGACCCUCUGGCCUUUCUUUGUUUUGUACAGAUGUAUGUUUUAAGAGUUUAGUGUCUUGUCAAUUUUCUCUGAACAAGUAAACAUUUUUGUUUAGGGGCCCCAGCUGAAUAUAUUUGUUCUUUGUUCAAAUCAUAUAGUGUAUUGUUUAGUGUGUGUGAAUACCAUGGUGCCCAUCAAGUAUUUUUUUUUUAUUAAGGUCUGAAAUUUGGAUAGGAAAGAAUAUCGGAGAAUGGAUAAAAUUUAC